GGGGGCUUGCCCCCCUAGUGGCGCACGGGUGAGUAACGCGUAACUGACCUACCCCGAAGUCCGGGAUAACUGGGCGAAAGUUCAGCUAAUACCGGAUACCCAGAUGACUCGUGAGUCAUCUGGAAAGGUUUACUGCUUUGGGAUGGGGUUACGUUCCAUCAGCUUGUUGGUAGGGUAAAGGCCUACCAAGGCGACGACGGAUAGCCGGCCUGAGAGGGUGGCCGGCCACAGGGGCACUGAGACACGGGUCCCACUCCUACGGGAGGCAGCAGUUAGGAAUCUUCCACAAUGGGCGCAAGCCUGAUGGAGCGACGCCGCGUGAGGGAUGAAGGUUUUCGGAUCGUAAACCUCUGAAUCUGGGACGAAAGGCCCGCAAGGGAGAUGACGGUACCAGAGUAAUAGCACCGGCUAACUCCGUGCCAGCAGCCGCGGUAAUACGGAGGGUGCAAGCGUUACCCGGAAUCACUGGGCGUAAAGGGCGUGUAGGCGGUCCAAUAAGUCUGGCUUUAAAGACUGAGGCUCAACCUCAGGGAUGGGCUGGAGACUGUUGGACUGGACCUCUGGAGAGGAACUCGGAAUUUCUGGUGUAGCGGUGGAAUGCGUAGAUACCAGAAGGAACACCGAUGGCGAAGGCAGAGUUCUGGACAGAAGG
RNAcentral lists this ribosomal RNA (652 nucleotides) under uncultured bacterium. RNAcentral describes it as "bacterial SSU rRNA". It matches the Rfam family "Bacterial small subunit ribosomal RNA", at positions 74 to 740 of the family's 1533-position model. The record is from RNAcentral.